AAAAAUUGCCUUUAAAAUGAUGGUCCAAUUUUACAUUGUAGAUUAAUAUAGAUCAUUAUUAAAUGCUUAAAAAGUCAUAAACUCAUAAAUAAUUCAUCAUAUCAUAAACAAUAAUUAUGAAUUAAUUAACAAACUCCCAUAGUCUUAUUCUUCUUUUUAUCAGCAACAAACUUCUUCCAUGCUUCAGUAACCUGUAACUCCCAUUCUCUAUCCGUUUUAUGAUGUGCCACGCUGUCGAUACCGUUCGCCGCGGCCGCCUCCUCGGCCACGGCGAGCUUAGCUUUGACACGUGCUGGAAGCAUGUCGAGCUCAUGGAGGACUUUAACGAUGUCCAUAACCAGUCGCUCCGCGAGUGUUCUAGAGAAAUCUUCUCUAAUAACAACUCUAAGAACUGUGAUGUGUUGAGCAUCUGGUGGCAUAGUGUAUGCUGGAACAAUCCAUCCAAAUCUCCUUAAAGUUUCAGAAAUUUCAAACUCAUCAUGUUUGCUAUUGUCUUUAAGAGAAAAUGCAACCAAGGGAACUCCAACUUCUUUGGAGACUAUCUCAAAUCUUCCUGUCUUUUCGAGUCCUUCUCUUAGUACCCUUGCAUUUUCUUGACAAUUCUCCAUAACAUUCUUGUAACCCUCAUAACCCAAACGAAUAAGUUGAUAAUAUUGAGCAAUUACUUGACUUGAUCCUUUAGAGAAAUUGAGGGUGAAAGUAGGUUGAUCAGCACCAAGAUAAUUAAUAUGAAAAAUAAGUUCAUCAGGCAAGUCUUCUUUGUUCCUCCAAAUGACCCAACCAAUACCAGCAUAAACAAGACCAUAUUUGUGACCACUCACAUUUAUACUUUUAACUAAUGGCAAUCUAAAGUCCCAUUCAAGUUCUGGAUAUAUAAAUGGUGCAAUAAAUCCACCACUAGCUGCAUCCACAUGAAUUGGAGUGUCCCACCCUGUUUCUUUGUUCUUCUCAAUCAAGAGGUCAUUCAAUUUCUUUACAUCUUCAAAUUCUCCAUU
Molecule: unclassified non-coding RNA, 995 nt
Filed under: Hevea brasiliensis (rubber tree)
Lineage: Eukaryota; Viridiplantae; Streptophyta; Magnoliopsida; Malpighiales; Euphorbiaceae
Source: RNAcentral